This 888-nucleotide unclassified non-coding RNA is filed under the name Pogonomyrmex barbatus (red harvester ant). Its description in RNAcentral is "n-alpha-acetyltransferase 20, transcript variant X1". The record is from RNAcentral. Lineage: Eukaryota; Metazoa; Arthropoda; Insecta; Hymenoptera; Formicidae.
GCAGCUUUAGGCUUCUCUUUGGCCAUACUGUACACACCGCUUGAAUAACUGGUGUAGAUAUAAAUAGAAAGUACUAUACGAAAAUACUAUUUUGUAGAAGACGAUCGUUCUGGACGAUUUCGUUCAUUUUGAAUGAAAUUAGGCAUUUAAUUAUAAUUAAGUGAACAAAUUAAGCUCGUGUUUUUUAUAAUUUUUUGAAAAUGACAACACUCAGGCCUUUCACUUGCAACGACUUGUUUAAGUUCAACAAUGUGAAUCUUGACCCGCUCACAGAAACAUAUGGACUUUCAUUUUAUAUGCAUUACCUCUCACACUGGCCAGAAUAUAUUCAAGUGGCAGAAUCUCCAAGCGGUGAAAUUAUGGGUUACAUCAUGGGGAAAGCUGAAGGUCAUGGAGAGAAUUGGCAUGGUCAUGUAACAGCUCUCACAGUUUCCCCUGAUUAUAGGAGAUUGGGUCUCGCUGCAAUGUUAAUGAAAUAUCUUGAGGAUGUAUCAGAAAAGAAACAAGCAUAUUUUGUGGAUCUCUUUGUUAGAGUGAGCAACAAGGUGGCUAUUACAAUGUAUCAACAGUUGGGAUACAUUGUAUAUAGAACAGUAUUGGAAUAUUACAAUGGGGAUCCAGACGAAGAUGCAUAUGAUAUGAGGAAAGCCUUGUCGAAAGAUGUAAAAAAGAAAUCUAUGAUUCCAUUAACACAUCCUGUGAGACCAGAGGAGGUAGACUGAAAGUGUUGAAAUUCACUUAACAAUGACAAAAAGAAGAGUGAAUUAGACACAAAUUACUUGUACAAAUUAUCAUGAAAUCAAUGAUGACGAGAUCGCAAAGACGUCUGAGAUUUUUCACGAAACAUUUUCCGGACAUCUUGCGGAGAUUCUUCGAAAAUUGAAUCCG